This 440-nucleotide ribosomal RNA is filed under the name uncultured bacterium. RNAcentral's name for it is "partial 16S ribosomal RNA". It matches the Rfam family "Bacterial small subunit ribosomal RNA", at positions 338 to 795 of the family's 1533-position model. The record is from RNAcentral.
CCUACGGGAGGCAGCAGUGGGGAAUAUUGCACAAUGGGGGAAACCCUGAUGCAGCAACGCCGCGUGAGUGAAGAAGUAUUUCGGUAUGUAAAGCUCUAUCCGCAGGGAAGAAGAUGACGGUACCUGUGUAAGAAGCCCCGGCUAACUACGUGCCAGCAGCCGCGGUAAUACGUAGGGGGCAAGCGUUAUCCGGAUUUACUGGGUGUAAAGGGAGCGUAGACGGUGAGACAAGUCUGAAGUUAAAGCCCUGGGCUCAACCCCGGGACUGCCUUGGAAACUGCCUGACUGGAGUUCUGGAGAGGCAAGCGGAAUUCCUAGUGUAGCGGUGAAAUGCGUAGAUAUUAGGAAGAACACCAGUGGCGAAGGCGGCUUGCUGGACAGUAACUGACGUUGAGGCUCGAAAGCGUGGGGAGCAAACAGGAUUAGAUACCCCAGUAGUC